This 442-nucleotide ribosomal RNA is filed under the name uncultured bacterium. RNAcentral's name for it is "partial 16S ribosomal RNA". It matches the Rfam family "Bacterial small subunit ribosomal RNA", at positions 339 to 795 of the family's 1533-position model. The record is from RNAcentral.
CUACGGGUGGCUGCAGUGGGGAAUAUUGGGCAAUGGGCGCAAGCCUGACCCAGCAACGCCGCGUGAGGGAAGAAGGUUUUCGGAUUGUAAACCUCUGUCCUUGGGGACGAAGAAGUGACGGUACCCAAGGAGGAAGCUCCGGCUAACUACGUGCCAGCAGCCGCGGUAAUACGUAGGGAGCAAGCGUUGUCCGGAAUUACUGGGCGUAAAGGGUGCGUAGGCGGCAUAUUAAGUCAGGUGUGAAAUACUCGGGCUCAACCCGAGGGGUGCAUUUGAAACUGAUAAGCUUGGAGUGUGAGAGAGGAAAGUGGAAUUCCUAGUGUAGCGGUGGAACGCGUAGAUAUUAGGAGGAACACCAGUGGCGAAGGCGACUUUCUGGCUCAUAACUGACGCUGAGGCACGAAAGCGUGGGGAGCAAACAGGAUUAGAUACCCCCGUAGUC